Molecule: ribosomal RNA, 404 nt
Filed under: uncultured bacterium
Lineage: Bacteria
Description: bacterial SSU rRNA
Rfam family: Bacterial small subunit ribosomal RNA
Source: RNAcentral
AUUAGAUUUUGAUCCUGGCUCAAAACGAACGCUGGCGGCAGGCUUACCACAUGCAAGUCAAACGGGUGUAGCAAUACAUCAGGGGCAAACGGGUGAGUAACACGUGGAAACCUUCCUCGUUGUACGGAACAACUCAGGAAAACUUGAGCUAAUACCGUAUACGUCCAAAAGGAAAAAGAUUUAUCGCAAUGAGACGGGCCCGCGUCGAAUUACCUAGUUGGGGGGGUAACGGCCUACCAAGGCAACAAUCCGUAGCUGAUCUGAGAGGAUGAUCAGCCACACUGGGACUGAAACACGGCCCAAACUCCUACGGGAGGCAGCAGUGGGAAAUCUUGAACAAUGGGCGCAAGCCUGAUCCACCCAUGCCGCGUGAGUGAAAAAGGCCUUCGGGUUGUAAAGCUCUU